UUGAUACUGUUUGAGAUAUCAAUGUGAAGGCUUAGCCAUAACUUUUCCCCUUGGAAUUCGGUAUCGAAAUCAUGUAUCACAUGAACACCUUCCCAUUUGAAAAAAUGAAGAUGAAUAUUCAAAAUGAAGCUGGAUUUGAAAUGAAGUUGGAUUCAUAAAAUGACGGAUCCAAAGAUGAUGGAGAAAGUUUUGAUGCAAAAGAAAAGUAGUUUCUGUAGUAUAACAACAUAUGUUUUGAAUUUGUUAUUACUGUUACUAAGUCUCCAAACAAACUCAUUCCAAUACGAAACCUGUAUAGUUCAAGUUAUUAAAAACCUUUCUUAAGGUAUUAAAUACUUAUGUCGUGUUUACUCUCAUUCCUAUUACAGUUUCUUUAAUUCGAAUUAGGAUUCAUAUGGAACCAACUGUCAAAUUAUCCUUUUAAAAGAAAUUUUUAGCUGCAAAUUCAUAAUUUUUGACAGAACAAAUUCCUAUAAUUAAACUUUGCGUUAAUUUCUGAUUAAUUCACCAUACACAUCAUUAAACUACUCACUGCAGAAUUCUACAAGGAACCUCUUUUUGGGAGUCAAGCCCCUCUACAGCGUGAAAUACCAUGUAGGUUAUUUUAAUGUGAUCAGAGAACUCAGACACUGCCUAUUUGAAAACCCCAGUCAUUGGCAACGACCUCAAGUAAGAAAUCCAACCGGUGCUACAAUGAAACAUGCCAAAGAAAAAUUCAAUAAGAGGAGGAACUAUUUUUGUAAACUAGCACAUUUUCUCCAUUAAAUGAUCAUGUUAAAUCUCAAAACUUACUUGACCAAUGACCGUUUGCACAGUGACAGUUUUAAACUAAAUUUUAUUUCAAACUGGAUUAAAUCCAUAUCAAGUCUCA
Nilaparvata lugens (brown planthopper) is the source of this 871-nucleotide long non-coding RNA. RefSeq lists it as uncharacterized. NCBI's taxonomy places the organism in Eukaryota, Metazoa, Arthropoda, Insecta, Hemiptera, Delphacidae. The transcript has 2 exons. The record is from RefSeq and is a predicted model, not a curated record.